AACCCUAUGUUAGUUGCCAUCAUUCAGUUGGGCACUCUAGCGAGACUGCCGGUAAUAAACCGGAGGAAGGUGGGGAUGACGUCAAAUCAUCAUGCCCCUUAUGACCUGGGCUACACACGUGCUACAAUGGUUGGUACAACGAAUUGCGAGUCGGUGACGGCGAGCUAAUCUCUUAAAGCCAAUCUCAGUUCGGAUUGUAGGCUGCAACUCGCCUACAUGAAGUCGGAAUCGCUAGUAAUCGCGGAUCAGCACGCCGCGGUGAAUACGUUCCCGGGCCUU
This 279-nucleotide ribosomal RNA is filed under the name uncultured Streptococcus sp. Its description in RNAcentral is "partial 16S ribosomal RNA". It matches the Rfam family "Bacterial small subunit ribosomal RNA", at positions 1101 to 1382 of the family's 1533-position model. The record is from RNAcentral. Lineage: Bacteria; Bacillati; Bacillota; Bacilli; Lactobacillales; Streptococcaceae.